This 1524-nucleotide long non-coding RNA is filed under the name Brassica rapa (field mustard). Its description in RNAcentral is "long non-coding RNA (BRAP_LNC007061)". The record is from RNAcentral. Lineage: Eukaryota; Viridiplantae; Streptophyta; Magnoliopsida; Brassicales; Brassicaceae.
UUUUACGACGUGUUGACACGUGUCGAAGUCAUUCUCUACGCACCGUAUCAUUAAACAAUGGCGUCAUGUGCUUUUCUGUUUAAUGUUUUAUUGGGUCUGGCCCAAAAACCCACAACGUUGUCUCCCUCCUAACCCUAAUAUGACAGACGAAAACUCCUCUUCGUACGGCGGGAGGCUGUGACGACGCUUCUUCUCAUGACUGAAAAGGACUGUUGGUGCAACAGUUAAAUGGUGUGUUAGGAGAUGGGUUAGUAAGAACGACGUCUGCACUGGAUAAUACAACUACAAAUGAAAUUUGGUUUAUGAAUGCAUAGGAAGAACUAAUAGAAAUGUUCAGAGUGUUCGAUGUGACAGUUUCAUAUCUGCACUUGAGGUAAUAUUAUUUUCAAAUUCUUCUUUUUAAGUGUCAUACCAUGUAUAUGUAGUUCCUUAUUAUUUUUAACCAGGGAAGCUUGAAGAUCAUCAACCACCAUCCCUAUUUCAAAUGGAGUUACAGACAUAGACAGAUUCUCAGGUAUUGAUUGCUUAAACCUCCUCCUCAAUUCAUUUUCAUUCAUUUUAUUAGCUGUGAAUUUUUAUUUGUUUUGUUCCUAUGUGUCAGAAAGUAGUCGUCACACGUGCAUGAGGAGGUCAGAGGUCGAGAGAUCAGCUGGAGAAGAAAGAGAGAGAUCUAGGUUUGUCGAGUCAUAGUGAGAGGAGACAGCCUGUUGUGAAGAGAGGUUCUUUUUUUUUUUGAUGAAACAACAAUUGUAGCUAUAUUUUGUUUGCUAAUGGGUUUGGUCUGAAAUUUUAAAUAAUACUAGAGGCACUGUCAAAUUAAGUUCUCCUUUGAAAUGGGUUGCUUGAAGCUUCUAUUAUUGUUUCGUUAUGUAUUCCUCUGUUCUUGAGACAUCAAGAAAGUACAUGAUGCAACUUCCAGACAUUGUAAUUCAUUUUGCCCGUCAUUUAUCAAUGUAUGUUGGCGAGUCAUUCCUUGCAUGUCAUCAGGAAAGAGAACACAUCCUCAAAUUCCUUUUAGGCUGGUCAUUGGCGCAUUUGAGUGAGAUCCUUAGACUUUGGAAGCAAUGCAGCAAAGUUUGAGCUAAAACAGAGGAAUUAUCAAUAAGUGAUUUAAUAUUUUUUUCUUAACCUUUCUGUUUUGUUUAAUUUUUUUUUUACUUUUGUCAUAUUUUAAGUGAGGGACAUUUACGAGGAUCAUUGUACCUUCAGGUUUGAGGAAUAUAUUUAAUUUUCUUUUUGAUUGAAAUUCAAACCUAAAUAUGUCAGAAGUAACACAAGGUGAAUUUUUUUACAAGUAACAUGAUUUUCACAGAUGAGCACUGGUAAUACCAUUUAAUCUACAUAUGUACUAACAAAGAUCACACAUUAGAUCAAAUGUAAGUAAACAAACUGAGCACAUUAGCUCCUCGCACAAAAUAAGAUCACACUAUAGACACAUUAGUCUCAUUUCAACCACUAUAUAGGAAAAAUGGUUAGACGCGUACGAUAAUGACUAUGUGUUUCUAUCUAAAAAGAAAACACAAC